RNAcentral lists this non-coding RNA (23 nucleotides) under Cricetulus griseus (Chinese hamster). Lineage: Eukaryota; Metazoa; Chordata; Mammalia; Rodentia; Cricetidae. The record is from RNAcentral.
ACUGUCGGCCAGGAGAAGAAAGG